Molecule: non-coding RNA, 112 nt
Organism: Acanthosepion pharaonis
Lineage: Eukaryota; Metazoa; Mollusca; Cephalopoda; Sepiida; Sepiidae
Source: the annotation of a GenBank genome assembly
ACAGCCACAUCACAUUGAAAUCCUGGGUCCUUUCUGAUCACUGAAGUUAAGCAAUGUCAAACUUGGUCAAUACCUAGAUGGGUGACCACUUGGGAAUACCAGAUGCUGUAAG